Vicia villosa (hairy vetch) is the source of this 2591-nucleotide long non-coding RNA. RefSeq lists it as uncharacterized. The transcript is spliced from 5 exons. The record is from RefSeq and is a predicted model, not a curated record. NCBI's taxonomy places the organism in Eukaryota, Viridiplantae, Streptophyta, Magnoliopsida, Fabales, Fabaceae.
UUCCCUUUCUUUUUUUCUCAGAUUGCUUUUUUCUUCCUUCUCCCUCUCCUUCUUCCUUCUCCCUAUUCUUCUUCCUCCUUCAUCUUCUUCUUACUUCUCCAUCUCCUCUUCAUUGUUAUUAUUGAGUUUCAUACAAGUUUGAUUUUGAUUUUGAUUUGGUGUUUGUUGUUUCAGGUUUGGUGGUGUUGACUCACGUGAAAGGGGGAAGCUUCGUUGACGGUGCGGUUAUUUGAACAUAUGAUCUACGAAAUUAUGGCGGUGGAUAUGACGUUUUCGGCAAUAGGCGGCUUGAUAGUGGUAUACUAUAGUAGCGGCAACACGUUUUUUGACGGCGGGUGUGGUGGUUGGAUUCAAAAUUAUUUUUGUGUGACUUUUUGGUCAGAUCUGUCAUGAGGUUUGAAGGAUUGCUUUCCCCCAAUUUGAAGGUUUGAAGGCAGCACUGUUACCGGCAUUUUCACUUUGUUUUCAAGAACACAUCUGGCAUCUAAUUGUUGUAUGCUUUAAGGCAUGAUUUGGCUCUUUAAGGUGCUGGAGGUGCAUGUGGAAAAGGGAAUGCAUCAAGGUCAAAAGGUUGUAUUUGAAGGACAAGCUGAUGAAGCCAUGUUGCAGUCAGACAUAAUCACCGGAGACAUAGUUUUUGUCUUACAAGUGAAAGGGCAUCCAAAGUUCAAGAGGGAGCGCGAUGACCUCCAUAUUGAUCACAAUCUGAGCUUAACUGAGGCUCUUUGUGGUUUCCAAUUUACUGUCACACAUCUUGAUGGAAAUCAACUCUUGGUCAAGUCAAACCCAGGAGAAGUCAUCAAGCCAGAUAAAACAGAAUUUUCAUGAUUGCAAUUCUCGAUGUUGUAGCCUCCAAUUGCAGCAGUCUCCAUCAACUCUGCACAAUUUUUGCUUUUCAACUACUGUGGCCGCAUGUGCAGCUGUUUUCUCUUUGCCUUCAGUUGCUCUUUAUGUACCUUAACACACUAGCUAUGAUCAUUGAUCCCCGCGCCUGUUAAAUCAAUUUCAAGUAGAAGAAAAAGCAGUAUUUAUAUAGCCACUGUUACAAAAAGUGUUUCCACCGUCCUUGUCUUAUGUUAAAGAACUACUAGGCAAAUUUAUAAAGAAGAACCCACUAUAUCAUUAUUUAUAUAUAUAUAUAUAUAUAUAUAUAUAUAUAUAUAUAUAUAUAUAUAUAUAUGUGUGUGUGUGUGUGUGUGUGUGUGUGUGUGUGUGUGUGUGUGUGUGUGUGUGUGUGUGUGUGUGUGUGUGUGUGUGUAAUAGAAAAUUGCUUUAAAACAAAUUAAUGUCCAUUAAUCAAUUCUACAAGGUUGUUUUCAACCUUUAUAAUGUUUCACUAUAUUAUGUUGAAACUUUGUUUCACUGUUAAGAAUCUUUUUUCAAAGAUUAUCCUAUUAAUGAGGUUGAUUGAAGAAUCCAAAUGGGAGAGUGCAUUUGAUAUGAAUUCAGAUCCAAAUGGCAGUAAUUUUAAGUGUCUGCAAUACCAUGCCUCUUAUGUAAUCUAAUAUAUUUGAAUUCAUUUCUCUCUUAACAUUUCUAUGGGAUUGUGUCCAAAGAGUAUUUCUUUUGUAAAUUUGGUGUUGACGUUUUAUCUUCUGUGUAGUACUUUGAGCAAGACAACAAAACUAUUCAUACAACUCUUUUUAGUAUCUCUCUUUUUUUUUAAACAAGAUUAUAUAGGUAAUUGUUUUUUGAAGCUGCAUAUUAAUUCUAAAAAUUUGUGUAAUAUUUUUAAUUAUCAAUAUAAUAUUUUUAUUGUUAUUACUAUUUUAUUAACUAUAGAAUUUUUUAAGGUGUUCAUCAACUUAGGAUUUUUUUCAAAUUUAUAUUUUUCUUUUAAAAAUUACAUUUUAAAAAGAGAUGCCGUUGUCAUACCCCAAAUUUGUCCUACCCUUUAAUUUCUAACUGGCUUAAGCAUUGCAUUCAUCCGCAUACCUCCAUUAGGUCAUCUAACAUAUCACGCAUCAUUAAUCAAUAAAAAAGGUGUGGGAGCAAGGAUCUUGGAAGCUAGGGUCUUUGUAUGUCGUUCAGGGUGGACUUCUUUCUCCUAAAGCUACAAGGUUUUCCUCCAUGAAGAUUCAUCAGAGGCAAGAAGACUAUGGUUCUUAUACACAAUGUCUACAAUCGUCGAUUCAUCAAAGAUUUGUUGGAUUUCAUCUCGAGGUGUCCUUAUGUGCUUCAAUACUUUCUUCCUCGAGGAUUCUUCGAUGUACUUUUGUUAUGAUGGAUUGAAAUACCGAUGUGAGUCAUGGCAUGAGAGAUGAACUUGUGGAUUCAUUUUGAUCAGAGAAGUUUGGUUCUCAUCAUUUUUACUUGUUGCUUGCAAUACAAGUUAGAGUGGACUUGAGUUUAUUCUUAAAGACUUGAAAUGGAUUUGCAUAAAAAAGGAGAGGAGUAAUCGAAAGUGCUUGGUAUUCCAGUUACAAGACUAAGACGUGCAUGAUUAUUCAUCAAAAAGAUUUGUUAGGCAUUGGUGCAAUUCCAUUCAAAUUCAUUCAACCAUUCAUUCAAGAUCUUUACGUUUACGUUCAUUAUCAUCCAAGUUUCAAGCCCAAGUCAUGUGAAUACCGAUCAUCAUUCAAGCGUUCGAU